GGUUGAUAUUCCUGUACUACCGAUAACCGUUUGAGAGAAGGGAUGACACAGUAGGAUAAGCUAAGCACACUGUUGGUUAUGUGUGCCCAAGCAUUGAGGCAGUCAAAGUAGGCAAAUCCGCUUUGAUAAUGCUGGGAUGUGAUGGGGAGCGAAAUUUAGUAGCGAAGUAGCUGAUUUCACACUGUCAAGAAAAGUCUCUAUCGAGGUUAAAGGUACCCGUACCGCAAACCGACACAGGUGGGUGAGGAGAGUAUCCUAAGGCCAGCGAGAGAACUGUUGUUAAGGAACUCGGCAAAAUGACCCCGUAACUUAGGGAUAAGGGGUGCCACCAUCAGGUGGCCGCAGAGAAUAGGCCCAAGCGACUGUUUACCAAAAACAUAGGUUUCUGCUAAGUCGCAAGACGAUGUAUAGGAGCUGACGCCUGCCCGGUGCUGGAAGGUUAAGGGGAUCUGUUAGAGCAAUCGAAGCAGUGAACUUAAGCCCCAGUAAACGGCGGCCGUAACUAUAACGGUCCUAGGUAGCGAAAUUCCUUGUCGGGUAAGUUCCGACCCGCACGAAAGGCGUAACGAUUUGGGCACUGUCUCAACAACAGACUCGGUGAAAUUGUAAUUCCGGUGAAGAUGCCGGAUACCUGCGACAGGACGGAAAGACCCCAUGGAGCUUUACUGUAGCUUGACAUUGGGUCUUGGUACUACAUGUACAGGAUAGGUGGGAGGCUUUGAAACCAGGACGCCAGUUUUGGCGGAGCCAUCCUUGGGAUACCACCCUUGUAGUACUGGGACUCUAACCAUAGGCCAUGAAUCUGGUCUUGGGACACUGUCAGGUGGGCAGUUUGACUGGGGCGGUCGCCUCCCAAAAGGUAACGGAGGCGCUCAAAGGUUCUCUCAGUACGGUCGGAAAUCGUACGUAGAGUGUAAAGGCAAAAGAGAGCUUGAUUGCAAGACAUACAGGUCGAGCAAGGAUGAAAAUCGGACUUAGUGAUCCGGUGGUUCUGCGUGGAAGGGCCAUCGCUCAACGGAUAAAAGCUACCCUGGGGAUAACAGGCUUAUCUCCCCCAAGAGUCCACAUCGACGGGGAGGUUUGGCACCUCGAUGUCGGCUCAUCACAUCCUGGGGCUGUAGUAGGUCCCAAGGGUUGGGCUGUUCGCCCAUUAAAGUGGUACGCGAGCUGGGUUCAGAACGUCGUGAGACAGUUCGGUCCCUAUCCGUCGCAGGCGUAGGAAAUUUGAGAAGACCUGUCCUUAGUACGAGAGGACCGGGAUGGACGUACCUCUGGUGUACCAGUUGUCCUGCCAAGGGCAUGGCUGGGUAGCUAUGUACGGAAUGGAUAAGCGCUGAAAGCAUCUAAGCGCGAAGCCAACUUCAAGAUAAGAUUUCCCACCGCAAGGGUAAGACCCCAGAAAGACUAUCUGGUUGAUAGGUCGAAGGUGUAAGUGCAGCAAUGUAUUUAGCUUAUCGAUACUAAUAGGUCGAGGACUUGACCAA
RNAcentral lists this ribosomal RNA (1484 nucleotides) under Clostridioides difficile DA00129. RNAcentral's name for it is "bacterial LSU rRNA". It matches the Rfam family "Bacterial large subunit ribosomal RNA", at positions 1428 to 2925 of the family's 2925-position model. Lineage: Bacteria; Bacillati; Bacillota; Clostridia; Peptostreptococcales; Peptostreptococcaceae. The record is from RNAcentral.